GUCCUAGCCGUAAACGGUGCAUAUUUGCUGUAAAAGGAAUCGACCCCUUUUGUGGCGUAGCCAACGCGUUAAAUAUGCCGCCUGGGAAGUACGGUCGCAAGAUUAAAACUCAAAGAAAUUGACGGGGGCCUGCACAAGCGGUGGAGUAUGUGCUUAAUUCGAUGCAACGCGAAGAACCCUUACCUGGCCUUGACAUGUAUGUAGUAGAAGGAUAGAAAGUCUGACGAGGUAGCAAUACCAGCAUACACAGGUGCUGCAUGGCUGUCGU
This 268-nucleotide ribosomal RNA is filed under the name uncultured bacterium. RNAcentral describes it as "partial 16S ribosomal RNA". It matches the Rfam family "Bacterial small subunit ribosomal RNA", at positions 793 to 1055 of the family's 1533-position model. The record is from RNAcentral.